UGAGGAAUAUUGGUCAAUGGACGCAAGUCUGAACCAGCCAUGUCGCGUGAAGGAUGACUGCCCUAUGGGUUGUAAACUUCUUUUAUAUGGGAAGAAUAUGAUUACGUGUAAUCAAAUGCCGGUACCAUAUGAAUAAGCAUCGGCUAACUCCGUGCCAGCAGCCGCGGUAAUACGGAGGAUGCAAGCGUUAUCCGGAUUUAUUGGGUUUAAAGGGUGUGUAGGUGGACCUUUAAGUCAGUGGUGAAAUCCUGCAGCUUAACUGUAGAACUGCCAUUGAAACUGAAGGUCUUGAGUAUAGACGAGGUAGGCGGAAUGAGUUAUGUAGCGGUGAAAUGCAUAGAUAUAACUCAGAACACCGAUUGCGAAGGCAGCUUACUAGACUAUUACUGACACUGAUGCACGAAAGCGUGGGUAGCGAACA
This 421-nucleotide ribosomal RNA is filed under the name uncultured bacterium. RNAcentral's name for it is "bacterial SSU rRNA". It matches the Rfam family "Bacterial small subunit ribosomal RNA", at positions 355 to 774 of the family's 1533-position model. The record is from RNAcentral.